Molecule: ribosomal RNA, 607 nt
Filed under: Vanrija humicola
Lineage: Eukaryota; Fungi; Basidiomycota; Tremellomycetes; Trichosporonales; Trichosporonaceae
Description: LSU rRNA
Rfam family: Eukaryotic large subunit ribosomal RNA
Source: RNAcentral
AUAAGGCAAUUCCUAGUAGCGGCGAGUGAGCGGGAAGAGCUCAAAUUUGUAAUCUGGCGUCUUUCAGGCGUCCGAGUUGUAAUCUAUAGAAGUGUUUUCCGUGCUGGACCAUGUCCAAGUCCCUUGGAACAGGGUAUCAAAGAGGGUGACAAUCCCGUACUUGACAUGACCACCAGUGCUCUGUGAUACACUUUCUACGAGUCGAGUUGUUUGGGAAUGCAGCUCAAAAUGGGUGGUAAAUUCCAUCUAAAGCUAAAUAUUGGCGAGAGACCGAUAGCGAACAAGUACCGUGAGGGAAAGAUGAAAAGCACUUUGGAAAGAGAGUUAAACAGUACGUGAAAUUGUUGAAAGGGAAACGAUUGAAGUCAGUCGUGUUCAUUGGACUCAGCCGGUUUUCGGUGUAUUUCCUUUGAACGGGUCAACAUCAGUUUUGUCCGGUGGAUAAAGGCAGGAAGAAAGUGGCUCCCUCGGGAGUGUUAUAGCUUUCUGUCACAUACACUGGAGGAGACUGAGGACUGCAGCUCGCCUUUUGGCCGGGGUUCGCCCACGUUCGAGCUUAGGAUGUUGACAUAAUGGCUUUAAACGACCCGUCUUGAACCCCCGAACC